GCCGGGCGUGGUGGCUCACGCCUGUAAUCCCUGCACUUUGGGAGGCUGAGGUGGGUGGAUCACCUGAGGUCAGGAGUUCGAGGCCAGCCUGACCAACAUGAUGAAACCCCAUCUCUA
Unclassified non-coding RNA from Pongo abelii (Sumatran orangutan), 117 nucleotides. It matches the Rfam family "Metazoan signal recognition particle RNA". Rfam says of the family: The signal recognition particle (SRP) is a universally conserved ribonucleoprotein. It is involved in the co-translational targeting of proteins to membranes. The eukaryotic SRP consists of a 300-nucleotide 7S RNA and six proteins: SRPs 72, 68, 54, 19, 14, and 9. The record is from Ensembl. Lineage: Eukaryota; Metazoa; Chordata; Mammalia; Primates; Hominidae.